This 253-nucleotide ribosomal RNA is filed under the name uncultured bacterium. RNAcentral's name for it is "partial 16S ribosomal RNA". It matches the Rfam family "Bacterial small subunit ribosomal RNA", at positions 524 to 776 of the family's 1533-position model. The record is from RNAcentral.
UACGUAGGGUGCAAGCGUUGUCCGGAAUUAUUGGGCGGAAAGAGCGUGUAGGCGGCUUGGUAGGUCCGCUGUGAAAACUCGAGGCUCAACCUCGAGAUGUCGGCGGAAACCACUUGGCUAGAGUCCGGAAGAGGAGAGUGGAAUUCCCGGUGUAGCGGUGAAAUGCGCAGAUAUCGGGAAGAACACCUAUGGCGAAGGCAGCUCUCUGGGACGGUACUGACGCUGAGACGCGAAAGCGUGGGGAGCGAACAGG